This 502-nucleotide ribosomal RNA is filed under the name uncultured bacterium. RNAcentral's name for it is "bacterial SSU rRNA". It matches the Rfam family "Bacterial small subunit ribosomal RNA", at positions 15 to 507 of the family's 1533-position model. The record is from RNAcentral.
GAUCAUGGCUCAGGAUGAACGCUAGCGGCAGGCCUAACACAUGCAAGUCGAGGGGCAACAGGAGUAGCAAUACUUGCUGGCGACCGGCGCACAGGUGAGUAACGCGUAUGCAACCUACCCAUAACAGGGGGAUAGCUUCCGGAAACGGGAAUUAAUACCCUAUAGCACCUAAGUACCGCAUGGUAUUAUGGUUAAAGCUCCGGCGGUCAAGGAUGGGCAUGCGGUUGAUUAGCUAGUUGGUGAGGUAACGGCUCACCAAGGCGACGAUCAAUAGGGGGUCUGAGAGGAUGUCCCCCCACACUGGAACUGAGACACGGUCCAGACUCCUACGGGAGGCAGCAGUGGGGAAUUUUGGACAAUGGACGCAAGUCUGAUCCAGCCAUUCCGCGUGCAGGAUGAAGGCCCUCGGGUUGUAAACUGCUUUUGUACGGAACGAAAAGGUUUCUAUUAAUACUAGGAGCUCAUGACGGUACCGUAAGAAUAAGCACCGGCUAACUACGUG